This 463-nucleotide ribosomal RNA is filed under the name uncultured bacterium. RNAcentral describes it as "partial 16S ribosomal RNA". It matches the Rfam family "Bacterial small subunit ribosomal RNA", at positions 28 to 505 of the family's 1533-position model. The record is from RNAcentral.
GACGAACGCUGGCGGCGUGCUUAACACAUGCAAGUCGAACGGAAAGGCCCUGCUUGCCGGGUACUCGAGUGGCGAACGGGUGAGUAACACGUGGGUGAUCUGCCCUGCACUUCGGGAUAAGCCUGGGAAACUGGGUCUAAUACCGGAUAGGAGCCAUUUUUAGUGUGAUGGUUGGAAAGUUUUUUCGGUGUAGGAUGAGCUCGCGGCCUAUCAGCUUGUUGGUGGGGUAAUGGCCUACCAAGGCGGCGACGGGUAGCCGGCCUGAGAGGGUGGACGGCCACAUUGGGACUGAGAUACGGCCCAGACUCCUACGGGAGGCAGCAGUGGGGAAUAUUGCACAAUGGGCGCAAGCCGGAUGCAGCGACGCCGCGUGGGGGAUGACGGCCUUCGGGUUGUAAACUCCUUUCGCUAGGGACGAAGCUUUUUGUGACGGUACCUAGAUAAGAAGCACCGGCUAACUACG